GCCCUUAUAGUGUAUCGGAAUUAACACGACGGUCUUCGGAACCGUAGAGCCGGGUUCGACUCCUGGUAGGGGUAC
RNAcentral lists this transfer RNA (75 nucleotides) under Streptomyces phage Annadreamy. RNAcentral's name for it is "tRNA-Arg". It matches the Rfam family "tRNA". Rfam says of the family: Transfer RNA (tRNA) molecules are approximately 80 nucleotides in length. Their secondary structure includes four short double-helical elements and three loops (D, anti-codon, and T loops). The record is from RNAcentral. RNAcentral also lists the same sequence under 1 other name. Lineage: Duplodnaviria; Heunggongvirae; Uroviricota; Caudoviricetes; Stanwilliamsviridae.